AAACCAUGCAUCGAUCAUUCUCUAAUUAACUCAUUGAAUCACUCCCAUGCUUCAUAUAAUGUUUCAUCCUCAAAUUGUCGAAAGGACGUAAUGUGUUCCUCAAUUU
Gossypium raimondii (Peruvian cotton) is the source of this 106-nucleotide small nucleolar RNA. It matches the Rfam family "Plant small nucleolar RNA R71". From Rfam's summary of the family: R71 is a member of the C/D box family of snoRNAs containing the C (UGAUGA) and D (CUGA) box motifs. The record is from Rfam. NCBI's taxonomy places the organism in Eukaryota, Viridiplantae, Streptophyta, Magnoliopsida, Malvales, Malvaceae.